Molecule: ribosomal RNA, 605 nt
Filed under: uncultured archaeon
Lineage: Archaea
Description: bacterial SSU rRNA
Rfam family: Archaeal small subunit ribosomal RNA
Source: RNAcentral
UUCCGUUGAUCUGCCGAGAUACUGCUAUCGUGUCGCUAAGCCAUGCGAGUCAUAUGUAGCAAUACAUGGCGUACUGCUCAGUAACACGUGGAUAACCUGCCUUGGGACCGGCAUAACCCCGGGAAACUGGGGAUAAUUCCGGAUAACGCAUAUGUGCUGGAAUGCUUUAUGCGUAAAAUGGAUUCGUCUGCCCAAGGAUGGGUCUGCGGCCUAUCAGGUAGUAGUGGGUGUAAUGUACUACUAGCCAGCGACGGGUACGGGUUGUGAGAGCAAGAGCCCGGAGAUGGAUUCUGAGACAUGAAUCCAGGCCCUACGGGGCGCAGCAGGCGCGAAAACUUUACAAUGCGGGAAACCGUGAUAAGGGGACACCGAGUGCCAGCAUCAUAUGCUGGCUGUCCAGGUGUGUAAAAUACACCUGUUAGCAAGGGCCGGGCAAGACCGGUGCCAGCCGCCGCGGUAACACCGGCGGCCCGAGUGGUGAUCGUGAUUAUUGGGUCUAAAGGGUCCGUAGCCGGUUUGGUCAGUCCUCCGGGAAAUCUGAUAGCUUAACUAUUAGGCUUUCGGGGGAUACUGCCAGACUUGGAACCGGGAGAGGUAAGAGGUAC